UACGGAGGGCGCAAGCGUUGUGCGGAAUUACUGGGCGUAAAGCGCGUGUAGGAGGCCUGGCAAGUCGGGUGUGAAAUCCCGGAGCUCAACUCCGGAACUGCAUCCGAUACUGCCAAGCUCGAGUCUCGGAGAGGAUGGCGGAAUUUCCGGUGUAGAGGUGAAAUUCGUAGAUAUCGGAAGGAACACCAGUGGCGAAGGCGGCCGUCUGGACGAUGACUGACACUGAGACGCGAAAGCGGGGGGAGCAAACAGG
This 253-nucleotide ribosomal RNA is filed under the name uncultured bacterium. RNAcentral describes it as "partial 16S ribosomal RNA". It matches the Rfam family "Bacterial small subunit ribosomal RNA", at positions 524 to 776 of the family's 1533-position model. The record is from RNAcentral.